GAUGAACGCUGGCGGCGUGCCUAAUACAUGCAAGUCGAGCGAACGGACGAGAAGCUUGCUUCUCUGAUGUUAGCGGCGGACGGGUGAGUAACACGUGGAUAACCUACCUAUAAGACUGGGAUAACUUCGGGAAACCGGAGCUAAUACCGGAUGAUAUUUUGAACCGCAUGGUUCAAAAGUGAAAGACGGUCUUGCUGUCACUUAUAGAUGGAUCCGCGCUGCAUUAGCUAGUUGGUAAGGUAACGGCUUACCAAGGCAACGAUGCAUAGCCGACCUGAGAGGGUGAUCGGCCACACUGGAACUGAGACACGGUCCAGACUCCUACGGGAGGCAGCAGUAGGGAAUCUUCCGCAAUGGGCGAAAGCCUGACGGAGCAACGCCGCGUGAGUGAUGAAGGUCUUCGGAUCGUAAAACUCUGUUGUUAGGGAAGAACAUAUGUGUAAGUAACUGUGCACAUCUUGACGGUACCUAAUCAGAAGGCCACGGCUAACUACGUG
Molecule: ribosomal RNA, 497 nt
Filed under: uncultured bacterium
Lineage: Bacteria
Description: partial 16S ribosomal RNA
Rfam family: Bacterial small subunit ribosomal RNA
Source: RNAcentral